RNAcentral lists this ribosomal RNA (460 nucleotides) under uncultured bacterium. Its description in RNAcentral is "partial 16S ribosomal RNA". It matches the Rfam family "Bacterial small subunit ribosomal RNA", at positions 338 to 795 of the family's 1533-position model. The record is from RNAcentral.
CCUACGGGAGGCAGCAGUGAGGAAUAUUGGUCAAUGGACGAGAGUCUGAACCAGCCAAGUAGCGUGAAGGAUGACUGCCCUAUGGGUUGUAAACUUCUUUUAUAUGGGAAUAACAUGUUCCACGUGUGGGAUUUUGUAUGUACCAUAUGAAUAAGGAUCGGCUAACUCCGUGCCAGCAGCCGCGGUAAUACGGAGGAUCCGAGCGUUAUCCGGAUUUAUUGGGUUUAAAGGGGGCGUAGGUGGUUUGUUAAGGCAGUUGUGAAAGUUUGCGGCUCAACCGUAAAAUUGCAGUUGAAACUGGCAGUCUUGAGUACAGUAGAGGUGGGCGGAAUGCGUGGUGUAGCGGGGAAAUGCUUAGAUAUCACGAAGAACUCCGAUUGCGAAGGCAGUACACUGGACUGCAACUGACACUGAGGCUCGAAAGUGUGGGUAUCAAACAGGAUUAGAUACCCGAGUAGUC